RNAcentral lists this ribosomal RNA (120 nucleotides) under uncultured bacterium. RNAcentral describes it as "partial 16S ribosomal RNA". It matches the Rfam family "Bacterial small subunit ribosomal RNA", at positions 215 to 334 of the family's 1533-position model. The record is from RNAcentral.
UCGCCUUUAGAGCGGCCCGCGUCUGAUUAGCUUGUUGGUGGGGUAAUGGCCCACCAAGGCUACGAUCAGUAGCUGGUCUGAGAGGAUGACCAGCCACAUUGGGACUGAGACACGGCCCAA